Long non-coding RNA from Canis lupus familiaris (dog), 739 nucleotides. RefSeq lists it as uncharacterized. NCBI's taxonomy places the organism in Eukaryota, Metazoa, Chordata, Mammalia, Carnivora, Canidae. The transcript is spliced from 3 exons. The record is from RefSeq and is a predicted model, not a curated record.
GGAAAAGGAAAAGGAAAAGGAAAAAGGAAAGGAUAGAUCUGCCCCAGGUAGCUUUUUAGGCAAAAUGUCUGGUUUUAGGAAAAAUUAGUGCCUGUAUCUAUGAACCGGUUAACAAAUAGUUAGAAGCACCCAAACAAAGACAAGUGAAGCCUUGGCAGUUCAGAGAAGGGAGAUGUUAUUUCUAACAGCUUCAGUUGGGAGUGAUCAUGACACCCAUUUAAGGACAAGUGUUCAAGGCAAACAAUCCGUCGUUUCUUUCGUAAUCUCAACGUUGUCAACUAAGAGAAGCUGCACAACUGAGAUAUCGAGUGUGAUGUUCGUUUCUGAGGUAUUUAUUGUCUUCCAAGUCUACACCGGAAAUGGACACUCAUACAUUCAUUCUUUGAAAGAUAUGUAGGUGCCCCUUCUCUGAAAAAUGACACUGCUGAUGGUCUCUAGUUCCCUUCUAUUCUACAAUUCCAUUACUUAUACUCCAGUGAAAGCUACCUGCUAUUCUGCUCAUGGAGCGUUGACCAAACACUGCUUUUGAAGAUGGAUUCUCAGAUUGGCAAAAUAGCCCAGCUCUCAAGAUCCUCAAGGUUGUGUGUUGAGAGGACAGCAUGUCUAAACUCCAGAGAAAAUAUGUCAUUUGAAAAUGCAUAUUCAGGGAUGGCUGGGUGGCUCAGUGGUUGAGUGUCUCCCUUUCGCCCAGGUUGUGAUCCCGGGGUUCUGGGAUCAAGUCCCGCAUGGGGUGCCCCAC